GAUGAACGCUGGCGGCGUGCCUAAUACAUGCAAGUCGAGCGAACAGACGAGGAGCUUGCUCCUCUGACGUUAGCGGCGGACGGGUGAGUAACACGUGGAUACCCUACCUAUAAGACUGGGAUAACUUCGGGAAACGGGAGCUAAUACCGGAUAAUAUAUUGAACCGCAUGGUUCAAUAGUGAAAGACGGUUUUGCUGUCACUUAUAGAUGGUUACGCGCCGCAUUAGCUAGUUGGUAAGGUAACGGCUUACCAAGGCAACGAUGCGUAGCCGACCUGAGAGGGUGAUCGGCCGCACUGGAGCUGAGACACGGUCCAGACUCCUACGGGAGGCAGCAGUAGGGAAUCUUCCGCAAUGGGCGAAAGCCUGACGGAGCAGCGCCGCGUGAGUGAUGAAGGUCUUCGGAUCGUAAAACUCUGUUAUUAGGGAAGAACAAAUGUGUAAGUAACUAUGCACGUCUUGACGGUACCUAAUCAGAAAGCCACGGCUAACUACGUG
This 497-nucleotide ribosomal RNA is filed under the name uncultured bacterium. RNAcentral's name for it is "partial 16S ribosomal RNA". It matches the Rfam family "Bacterial small subunit ribosomal RNA", at positions 28 to 507 of the family's 1533-position model. The record is from RNAcentral.